This 253-nucleotide ribosomal RNA is filed under the name uncultured bacterium. RNAcentral describes it as "partial 16S ribosomal RNA". It matches the Rfam family "Bacterial small subunit ribosomal RNA", at positions 524 to 776 of the family's 1533-position model. The record is from RNAcentral.
UACAGAGGGGGCAAGCGUUGUUCGGAAUUACUGGGCGUAAAGGGCUCGUAGGCGGCCAACUAAGUCAUACGUGAAAUCCCUCGGCUUAACCGGGGAACUGCGUCUGAUACUGGAUGGCUUGAGUUCGGGAGAGGGAUGCGGAAUUCCAGGUGUAGCGGUGAAAUGCGUAGAUAUCAGGAAGAACACCCGUGGCGAAGGCGGCUCUCUGGGACGGUACUGACGCUGAGACGCGAAAGCGUGGGGAGCGAACAGG